Osmia bicornis bicornis is the source of this 3315-nucleotide RNA transcript. It is a transcript of the gene named palmitoyltransferase app, with no coding region annotated. The transcript has 10 exons. The record is from RefSeq and is a predicted model, not a curated record. NCBI's taxonomy places the organism in Eukaryota, Metazoa, Arthropoda, Insecta, Hymenoptera, Megachilidae.
AACACAACGGCCAACAAUCCCUGUAAACACAUACAUACGUUAUUGUCAUCGAACUAAGGUCGAUUGACCAAAACGAUGCAACGGCUUCUCAGAUCAUAAUGUACUUUGUAGAUUUGAAGGUUAUAUUGAGAGUGCACAAGUGUUUAUAUGUCACAUCAAAGUGACCUAGUUUUACAAAUGAAAUUUUACUUGGGAUUUUCUUCAGCUAUGACCCUGCAGUGAGUGUUUUCGUAGUCGGUGGUCUCUGGGAGACAGUGGCGAUAAUGUAUCGAAAGUGAGUUCACGGCUGUUUUUAGAAUACGAAAGAUAGUAAACGAAUCAGCUUGAUUAUAUGAGAAUGCAAGUUUUAACGAAAUAUGAAUUUCAUUGUAUUUUCAAUGAACGGAGCAAUUAGGUUAAGUUGACGAGAAGUGUAUAAAUUUUCUGUUACUUCUCCAGAACGUAGAAGGUAAUUUAUGAAUGCACGUUCAAUAAAGCAAAACAAUAAGCCAAGAUGAAAUAUGAUUGUUCAAACUUUUGGAUAUUAGUAUUAAAUAAACAUUGUAUGGCCCUAAUGAAUUAUGCGGUGCAAAUUGGGCAUUAUGUACUUGUAUAUAUGAACAACGCGUAAAGUAGUCUGUCUACUUCUGCAAGAUGCCACACGUUACAAGAAAAUGGGAACUUUUCCCAGGUAGAAAUCGAUUCUGUUGUGACGGUAGGGUGAUGAUGGCACCCCAAACUGGAGUAUUUUAUGUGACUGUGUGUCUUAUUGCUGGAACAAGUGGAUUAUUUUUUGCUUUCGAUUGUCCAUUCUUAGCAGUUCAUAUAACACCUGCUAUACCAGUUAUUGGUGGUUUAUUGUUUGUUUUUGUAAUGUCCGCAUUAUUCAGAACAAGUUUUAGCGAUCCUGGAGUUAUUCCAAGAGCAACACCUGAUGAAGCUGCCUAUAUUGAAAAACAAAUUGAGGUACCAAACAAUGGCAAUUCCAAAAUGUAUAGACCUCCGCCUAGAACAAAAGAGAUAUUAGUAAAAGGACAGCCGGUAAAAUUAAAGUAUUGUUUUACUUGUAAGAUAUUUAGACCACCAAGGGCUUCGCAUUGUAGUUUAUGCGACAAUUGUGUAGAGAGGUUUGACCAUCACUGUCCUUGGGUUGGAAAUUGUGUAGGCAGAAGAAAUUACAGAUAUUUUUAUGCUUUUAUUGUGUCCUUGGCAUUUCUUUGCGUUUUUAUAUUUGCGUGUGCUGUAACACAUUUAAUAAUGCUUACGAGAGAUGAUAGACCAUUUCUAGAAGCAGUGAGGAUAUCUCCUGGAAGUGUUGUUGUAGGAGUUAUAUGUUUUUUCUCUGUUUGGAGUAUUCUUGGUCUAGCUGGGUUUCAUACAUAUUUAACUACCAGUAAUCAGACAACUAAUGAAGAUAUUAAAGGAUCGUUUUCCAUUAAAAGAGGACAAGAAAGUUUUAAUCCUUAUAGUCAAGGAAAUAUUUGUGGAAAUUGUUUCUACGUAUUGUGUGGACCGGCACCACCUAGCUUAAUUGAUCGAAGGGGUAUAGUAACACCUGAAUAUCGCGCAGAACAAGAAAGGGUUAGCGAUGAUAGUGUGAUUACUAAUAAUAAAACAUACGGUACUGUGAAAAUUGUACAACCACAGUCUAAUGGGACAACUGUUCAGGCAAACCCUAGCCCAGAUCUUACGGGUUCCAUGAAUAAUCUCGUUUCUGGUCAACAUUCGCCGCAGAUCGAAUCGAUAAACGGUGAGUUAAGCCUUUUAAGGCAUACUAUCCGUUAUCCUGAGGAUCUUUCCAAGUACCCGCGACAGUAUAUAAAUGACACAUACGUUCCGACAUAUCCCCUACAGCAUUGUUUUCAGGAUUCUGUAAAACAUAUAAAAUAUGAUACAGAUAGGGGAAAUCCAGAUUUUCAAAAAUAUCCAUGUAGAUGUGAAGAGAAUUUACAUAAAUAUCCUCACAGGUGUAGGGAAGAGUAUAACAGAUGUUCGGAUAAUAAUUUAAUGUAUGAUCAGUGUGUCGGCGAUCAGAAAUAUGGUAUCGAUCUUCAGAAGUAUCCGCAAAGAUAUUCCGAAGAUCCGAUACGUCAUAAAAUCGACGAUAAAAGUAUUUACACCGACCUUCAAAAAUUUCCCCAAUGCUAUUCGGAAGAUCCAUUACGAAUUUCUCAAUCCCAACAAACUCUCAAGUAUAAUAACCUGAGAUGCACUGUUCAUGGUUUAAAAUAUCCGAUAUCAAAGAAUCUCUUGCCAACUGUUGUAAUGUCACGAAUAUUAGGGGCAGGGGGGAUGCCAAUUAUUGGGCAAAAUGCGAUUGGACUUGCAGUUAACAGAUUUGGUUCAGGGCCAUUGACCAAUACUUUCUCUUAUGCGGAAAAUUCUCUAUGUCCUAGCGACAGUACUGAAGAAGAUCUUUUAAAUCGUAGAUUUAUUAUGAGUUCAAUGAGCGAUAACGAUGAUAUUUAAUAUUUUUCAUAAUAAUUGCAUUUUUUUAAAAUAACAAUAUAAUAUAUUGAAACGAAACUUAAAUAAACGGCCAUAGCGUAUUUGUUAGGAAAAAUUCUUUUAGCGUGUUGAAAUUAAAAUAAUAUAAGUUUUGAUGUUUCGAUUGUUCAUUAUUAGAAGCUUACAAUAUACAAACUUUUUAGUAUGUAUAUACAUAUUAGUAAAGAUAAUGAUAUGUAAGUUGAUAUACAUAUAUUAAUAACAUUAACAAAAGGUAAUUAUUAUUAUCAUGUUCAUGUUGUUCAUGUUUUCUCGUGCUAUAUCUUAUACAAAUCUUUAUGAAUGAGAUACAUUCAAGUUGAAUUUGAUUGUUAUCAGCAGAGAUUUAUUUAUUUUUUGACUGUUCAAUUUGGUACUGAGCUCAUGGAUAUUUUUUCUUAAGAAACGAAGAAGAGAGAUGUUAAUAUCCUUGUUAUUAUGGUAUAUAUCUUGACUGAAAAAAAGGACUGAACUAUUAAUUUCAUUGCAAUUUUUAAUACUAAUAUGUGAACAUAGUUAUUUGCUUUUAUAGUACAGCUGCAUUAGUAGAACAUGGUAUAUUUAUUAAUUCAGUAAAUUACGUCAUUAUACUAAUCUUUAAUAUGGUAAAGAAAUUGAUCUGGAUAUAGAUCGGAUCCAUUAAUAGGUUGCAUAAAUUUACAUUCUUUAUUGUUUAGUCAUAUUUCUACAUGAUUGAAUAAAUUGUAUUUCUUUGUUGUUUAAAAUUACGUCCUGUUAUCGAGGGCUCAGAGCAUACCGUUUGGUAGCACCACGAACAGCGUGAGCCAACUUGUUACCAAUGAAGUACCACUAGCGUCACUUAAUAUAGCUCCAAUUGAUAUCGACGAA